Molecule: ribosomal RNA, 2571 nt
Filed under: human gut metagenome
Description: bacterial LSU rRNA
Rfam family: Bacterial large subunit ribosomal RNA
Source: RNAcentral
AGAGCGCAGGGUGGAUGCCUUGGCACUAAGAGCCGAUGAAAGACGUGAUAAGCUGCGAAAAGCUUCGGGGAGGAGCAAAUAUCCUUUGAUCCGGAGAUAUCUGAAUGGGGAAACCCGGCUGAGCAAACCUCAGUCACUGCAUGGUGAAUCCAUAGCCAUGCAGAGGGAACCCGGUGAACUGAAACAUCUAAGUAGCCGGAGGAAGAGAAAGAAACAUCGAUUCCCAAAGUAGCGGCGAGCGAAAUGGGAAGAGCCCAAACCAGCGUGCGUGCAUGCUGGGGUUAUGGACUGCAAACGUGAACCGAUUUGUUAGUGGAACUGUCUGGGAAGUCAGGCCAGAGAGGGUGAAAGCCCCGUACACGAAAACAAUAGGAAGCAGCAGGAUCCAGAGUACCACGAGACACGAGAAACCUUGUGGGAAGUCGGAGGGACCACCCUCCAAGGCUAAAUACUCCUUAGUGACCGAUAGCGCAUAGUACUGUGAAGGAAAGGUGAAAAGGACCCCGGGAGGGGAGUGAAAAAGAACCUGAAACCCUGUGUUUACAAGCUGUGGAAGCACGUUAAGGUGCGACCGCGUACUUUUUGUAGAACGGUCCGGCGAGUUGCCGGUACUGGCAAGGUUAAGAGCUUAAGGCUCGGAGCCGAAGGGAAACCAAGUCUCAAAUGGGCGUCAAGUCAGUACAGGCAGACCCGAAACCGGGUGACCUAUCCAUGUCCAGGUUGAAGCGGAAGUAAAAUUCCGUGGAGGACCGGAUCCACAUCCGUUGAAAAGGGUGGGAAUGAGGUGUGGAUAGGGGAGAAAUUCCAAUCGAACCCGGAGAUAGCUGGUUCUCCUCGAAAUAGCUUUAGGGCUAGCCUCGUAUUAAUGCCAUGGAGGUAGAGCACUGAAUUUCCUAGGGGGCGUCAAAGCUUACCGAAGAAUAUCAAACUCCGAAUGCCAGCCAGAUGAUGACCGGGAGUCAGACUGCACGAGAUAAGUUGGGUAGUCAAAAGGGAAAGAGCCCAGACCUACAGCUAAGGUCCCAAAGUGUGUGUUAAGUGGAAAAGGAUGUGGGAUUUCAAAGACAACUAGGAUGUUGGCUCAGAAGCAGCCACACAUUCAAAGAGUGCGUAAUAGCUCACUAGUCGAGAGGUCCUGCGCCGAAAAUGUCCGGGGCUGAAACACAACACCGAAGCUUAGGAAUGUAUGUAAGUACAUUGGUAGAGGAGCAUUCUUAGUGCGGAGAAGCGGUACCGAUAAGGAGCCGUGGAGCGUUAAGAAGAGAGAAUGCCGGAAUGAGUAGCGAGAUGGAGGUGGGAAUCCUCCAGGCCGAAUAUCCAAGGUUUCCAGAGUAAAGCUGAUCUGCUCUGGGUAAGUCGGGGCCUAAGGCGAGGUCGAAAGACGUAGUCGAUGGAUAACAGGUUGAGAUUCCUGUACUGCUGUAUAACAGAACUGUGGGGACACAGAGGGAGAGCACAUCCCGGGAAUGGAAAUACCGGGGCAAGCGAGGUAGGAGCUGCAAUGGCAAAUCCGUGUAGCAAUCCGAAGGCGUGAUGCAUAACGAAAUUUAGUAGUGAAUUGUGUGAGCCAGCUGUCAAGAAAAGCCGCUAUUGUUUGUACAGUACCCGUACCGUAAACCGACACAGGUGGAUGAGGAGAGAAUCCUAAGGCCGACGGAAGAAGCAUUGUUAAGGAACUCGGCAAAAUGACCCCGUAACUUCGGGAGAAGGGGUGCCACAGAGAUGUGGCCGCAGAGAAUAGGCUCAAGCAACUGUUUAGCAAAAACACAGGUCUAUGCAAAACCGAAAGGUGAGGUAUAUGGGCUGACGCCUGCCCGGUGCUGGAAGGUUAAGAGGAGAGGUUAGCGCAAGCGAAGCUUUGAAUUGAAGCCCCAGUAAACGGCGGCCGUAACUAUAACGGUCCUAAGGUAGCGAAAUUCCUUGUCGGGUAAGUUCCGACCCGCACGAAAGGCGUAAUGAUUUGAGCGCUGUCUCGACAAUGCACCCGGUGAAAUUGAAAUACCAGUGAAGAUGCUGGUUACCUGCGCCAGGACGGAAAGACCCCAUGGAGCUUUACUCCAGUUUGAUACUGGGAUUCGGUAUUGCAUGUACAGGAUAGGUGGGAGGCUUUGAAACAUGGACGCCAGUCUGUGUGGAGCCAAUGUUGGGAUACCACCCUUGCGAUAUUGGGUUUCUAACCUGCGCCCGUGACCCGGGCGGGGGACAAUGUCAGGCGGGGAGUUUGACUGGGGCGGUCGCCUCCGAAAGGGUAUCGGAGGCGCUCAAAGGUUCCCUCAGAAUGGUUGGAAACCAUUCGAAGAGUGCAAAGGCAGAAGGGAGCUUGACUGCGACACCGACGGGUGGAGCAGGUACGAAAGUAGGACUUAGUGAUCCGGUGGUAUAAAGUGGGAUUGCCAUCGCUCAACGGAUAAAAGCUACCCUGGGGAUAACAGGCUUAUCACUCCCAAGAGUUCACAUCGACGGAGUGGUUUGGCACCUCGAUGUCGGCUCAUCGCAUCCUGGGGCUGUAGUAGGUCCCAAGGGUUGGGCUGUUCGCCCAUUAAAGCGGUACGCGAGCUGGGUUCAGAACGU